RNAcentral lists this unclassified non-coding RNA (384 nucleotides) under Hevea brasiliensis (rubber tree). Lineage: Eukaryota; Viridiplantae; Streptophyta; Magnoliopsida; Malpighiales; Euphorbiaceae. The record is from RNAcentral.
AAUAUUAUUUGGUAAAUGAAGAAAUCACAGAAACAGCUGAACCAACAGUCAGAACACCUCAGCUUCGUCGUCACCAUGUGAGGAAGAAGAGAGACCCAAGGAGAUUAAAGUCAAUGUACUCUCCUACAAACAUUUCUUCGAAAUUGCUGAGAAAACGCGUCUUGGUUUUUUUUUCUUUUCUUCCUUUUAUACGCAACUUUGCAAAGUCUUCACCUACCACAUGCUUUGCCUACCACUUGCUUUUAUGGAUGCGAAUCUGAGUUAAUUGGUGAAUAUAUAGAUCAGAGGGAAAGGAAGAAAGCACAGUUGCAGCUGAACCAACAAUCAGAACACCUCAGCGUCGUCCUCGCCACUUUCUUGCUGAAUUAAUUAAUUGGUGAAUAU